UGGGGAAUAUUGCACAUUGGAGGGAACUCUGAUGCAGCAACGCCGCGUGCGGGAUGACGGCCUUCGGGUUGUAAACCGCUUUCAGCCAUGACGAAGCUUUUGUGACGGUAGUGGUAGAAGAAGCACCGGCUAACUACGUGCCAGCAGCCGCGGUGAUACGUAGGGUGCGAGCGUUGUCCGGAAUUAUUGGGCGUAAAGAGCUUGUAGGCGGUUUGUCGCGUCGAUAGUGUAAACACGCAGCUUAACUGUGUGCCUGCUGUCGAUACGGGCUGACUAGAGGAGGGUAGGGGAGAAUGGAAUUCCCGGUGGAGCGGUGGAAUGCGCAGAUAUCGGGAGGAACACCAGUGGCGAAGGCGGUUCUCUGGACCUUUCCUGACGCUGAGAAGCGAAAGCGUGGGUAGCAAACAGG
RNAcentral lists this ribosomal RNA (409 nucleotides) under Fusobacteriota bacterium. RNAcentral describes it as "Fusobacteria bacterium partial 16S ribosomal RNA". It matches the Rfam family "Bacterial small subunit ribosomal RNA", at positions 355 to 776 of the family's 1533-position model. The record is from RNAcentral. Lineage: Bacteria; Fusobacteriati; Fusobacteriota.